GCCAUGCGUUAUGUGAGCUGUAAGGACUGAAGUCGUGGAGAGGAAAGCCUGAGGUUUGCAAAUACACAAAGUAUUUACCAUACUUACCACUGUUGGAAAAGUGACGUAAGGAAAGUUAUGUGCAGACUACUGCUUUGAUAUCAAGAUUUAGUACAUAGCACUGGUUCGUUUCAUCUUUUUCAUUAAGCUUUUGGAGCUUUACCUCUUGUGAUAUAUGCAAAGGCAAGGUAGUCGAGCAAUUGUGUCCCCUUGUGUCAGGUCCUCAAGGCAGAUUACACACUCUCCCUUGUCUUCGGUUAGGACGUCAUCUAGAAUGGAGAUACUAUGCUUAGGUCAAAUGCAUACAACUUUCACACAUUGGUUGCCAAGUCCACGUCCUGAAAGAUCGCCAGAGCACCCUGAG
Ornithodoros turicata is the source of this 403-nucleotide long non-coding RNA. RefSeq lists it as uncharacterized. The transcript is spliced from 3 exons. The record is from RefSeq and is a predicted model, not a curated record. Lineage: Eukaryota; Metazoa; Arthropoda; Arachnida; Ixodida; Argasidae.